Molecule: ribosomal RNA, 253 nt
Filed under: uncultured bacterium
Lineage: Bacteria
Also listed under: 1 other name
Description: partial 16S ribosomal RNA
Rfam family: Bacterial small subunit ribosomal RNA
Source: RNAcentral
GACGGAGGAUGCAAGCGUUAUCCGGAAUUAUUGGGCGUAAAGCGUCCGCAGGUGGCCUAUCAAGUCUGCUGUCAAAGACCGGGGCUUAACCCCAGAAAGGCAGUGGAAACUGAAAGGCUAGAGGAUGGUAGGGGCAGAGGGAAUUCCCAGUGUAGCGGUGAAAUGCGUAGAGAUUGGGAAGAACACCGGUGGCGAAAGCGCUCUGCUGGGCCAUAACUGACACUCAGGGACGAAAGCUAGGGGAGCGAAUGGG